UAGAGAGACUGCCGGUGACAAACCGGAGGAAGGUGGGGAGACGUCAAGUCAGCAUGCCCCUUACGUUCUGGGCUACACACGUACUACAAUGUACGGACAAAGGGUAGCAAGCAUGCGAAUGCAAGCCAAUCCCAUAAACCGUGGCUCAGUUCAGAUUGCAGGCUGCAACUCGCCUGCAUGAAGGCGGAAUCGCUAGUAAUCGCAGGUCAGCACUACUGCGGUGAAUACGUUCCCGGGCCUUGUACACACCGCCCGUCACACCAUGGAAGCUGGCUUAGCCCGAAGUCGUUACCCUAACCGCAAGGAGGGGGAUGCCGAAGGCAGGGCUGGUGACUGGGGUGAAGUCGUAACAAGGUAACC
This 360-nucleotide ribosomal RNA is filed under the name uncultured bacterium. RNAcentral's name for it is "bacterial SSU rRNA". It matches the Rfam family "Bacterial small subunit ribosomal RNA", at positions 1141 to 1501 of the family's 1533-position model. The record is from RNAcentral.